RNAcentral lists this ribosomal RNA (349 nucleotides) under uncultured bacterium. Its description in RNAcentral is "bacterial SSU rRNA". It matches the Rfam family "Bacterial small subunit ribosomal RNA", at positions 8 to 350 of the family's 1533-position model. The record is from RNAcentral.
AGAGUUUGAUCCUGGCUCAGGAUGAACGCUAGCUACAGGCUUAACACAUGCAAGUCGAGGGGAAACGACAUCGAAAGCUUGCUUUUGAUGGGCGUCGACCGGCGCACGGGUGAGUAACGCGUAUCCAACCUGCCCACCACUUGGGGAUAACCUUGCGAAAGUAAGACUAAUACCCAAUGACGUCUCUAGAAGACAUCUGAAAGAGAUUAAAGAUUUAUCGGUGAUGGAUGGGGAUGCGUCUGAUUAGCUUGUGGCGGGGUAACGCCACAAGGCGACGAUCAGUAGGGGUUCUGAGAGGAAGGUCCCCCANAUUGGAACUGAGACACGGUCCAAACUCCUACGGGAAGCA